Molecule: ribosomal RNA, 1008 nt
Filed under: Mucilaginibacter sp.
Lineage: Bacteria; Pseudomonadati; Bacteroidota; Sphingobacteriia; Sphingobacteriales; Sphingobacteriaceae
Description: bacterial SSU rRNA
Rfam family: Bacterial small subunit ribosomal RNA
Source: RNAcentral
UGCAAGUCGAACGGGAUUGAGAAGCUUGCUUUUCAUGAGAGUGGCGCACGGGUGCGUAACACGUAUGUAACCUACCUUAAUCUGGGGGAUAGCCUCUCGAAAGAGAGAUUAACACCGCAUAACAUUAGCACAUAGCAUUUUGUACUAAUCAAAUAUUUAUAGGAUUAAGAUGGGCAUGCGGAACAUUAGCUAGUUGGUAAGGUAAUGGCUUACCAAGGCUACGAUGUUUAGGGGAUCUGAGAGGAUGACCCCCCACACUGGUACUGAGACACGGACCAGACUCCUACGGGAGGCAGCAGUAAGGAAUAUUGGUCAAUGGGCGCAAGCCUGAACCAGCCAUGCCGCGUGCAGGAAGACGGCCCUACGGGUUGUAAACUGCUUUUGUACCGGAAUAAACCCUUUUACGUGUAAGAGGCUGAAUGUACGGUAAGAAUAAGGAUCGGCUAACUCCGUGCCAGCAGCCGCGGUAAUACGGAGGAUCCAAGCGUUAUCCGGAUUUAUUGGGUUUAAAGGGUGCGUAGGUGGCUUUUUAAGUCAGGGGUGAAAGACGGUAGCUUAACUAUCGCAGUGCCUUUGAUACUGAAGAGCUUGAAUGAACUAGAGGUAGGCGGAAUGUGACAAGUAGCGGUGAAAUGCAUAGAUAUGUCACAGAACACCAAUUGCGAAGGCAGCUUACUAUGGUUUUAUUGACACUGAGGCACGAAAGCGUGGGGAUCAAACAGGAUUAGAUACCCUGGUAGUCCACGCCCUAAACGAUGAAUACUCGAUGUUGGCGAUAUACGGUCAGCGUCUAAGCGAAAGCGUUAAGUAUUCCACCUGGGGAGUACGCCCGCAAGGGUGAAACUCAAAGGAAUUGACGGGGGCCCGCACAAGCGGAGGAGCAUGUGGUUUAAUUCGAUGAUACGCGAGGAACCUUACCCGGGCUUGAAAGUUAGUGAAUUGAGCAGAGACGCUCAAGUCCUUCGGGACACGAAACUAGGUGCUGCAUGGCUGUCGUCAGCUCGUGCC